RNAcentral lists this ribosomal RNA (413 nucleotides) under uncultured bacterium. RNAcentral's name for it is "bacterial SSU rRNA". It matches the Rfam family "Bacterial small subunit ribosomal RNA", at positions 8 to 425 of the family's 1533-position model. The record is from RNAcentral.
AGAGUUUGAUCCUGGCUCAGAUUGAACGCUGGCGGCAUGCCUUACACAUGCAAGUCGAACGGUAACAGCACUUCGGUGGCUGACGAGUGGCGAACGGGUGAGUAAUACAUCGGAACGUGCCCGAGAGUGGGGGAUAACGCAGCGAAAGCUGUGCUAAUACCGCAUACGAUCUACGGAUGAAAGCAGGGGACCGCAAGGCCUUGCGCUCAUGGAGCGGCCGAUGGCAGAUUAGGUAGUUGGUGGGAUAAAAGCUUACCAAGCCGACGAUCUGUAGCUGGUCUGAGAGGACGACCAGCCACACUGGGACUGAGACACGGCCCAGACUCCUACGGGAGGCAGCAGUGGGGAAUUUUGGACAAUGGGCGAAAGCCUGAUCCAGCCAUGCCGCGUGCAGGAUGAAGGCCUUCGGGUUG